This 367-nucleotide ribosomal RNA is filed under the name uncultured organism. RNAcentral describes it as "bacterial SSU rRNA". It matches the Rfam family "Bacterial small subunit ribosomal RNA", at positions 527 to 896 of the family's 1533-position model. The record is from RNAcentral.
CGAGGAUCCAAGCGUUAUCCGGAUUUAUUGGGUUUAAAGGGAGCGUAGGCGGCCUUGUAAGUCAGGGGUGAAAGACGGCAGCUUAACUGUCGCAGUGCCUUUGAUACUGCAGGGCUUGAAUACACUAGAGGUAGGCGGAAUGUGACAAGUAGCGGUGAAAUGUAUAGAUAUGUCACAGAACACCGAUUGCGAAGGCAGCUUACUAUGGUGCAAUUGACGCUGAGGCACGAAAGCGUGGGGAUCAAACAGGAUUAGAUACCCUGGUAGUCCACGCCCUAAACGAUGAAUACUCGAUGUUAGCGAUAUACAGUUAGCGUCAAAGCGAAAGCGUUAAGUAUUCCACCUGGGGAGUACGCCCGCAAGGGUG